RNA transcript from Columba livia (rock pigeon), 4053 nucleotides. It is a transcript of the gene named adaptor related protein complex 1 subunit beta 1, with no coding region annotated. NCBI's taxonomy places the organism in Eukaryota, Metazoa, Chordata, Aves, Columbiformes, Columbidae. The transcript has 25 exons. The record is from RefSeq and is a predicted model, not a curated record.
CGCCCCUCCCGCCCUAGCCACGCCCAUCCCUCUCACGGCUCCGCCCACCCCGCCCUGGCCCCGCCCCGGAAGCGCUCCCCCGCUCGUCACUCACUUCCGCGGGGCCGGUGGCAGCGGCGGCGGCAGUAGCAGCAGGCCGGGAGCUGCAGUGAGGCGCAGAGAGCUGCUGCGGCACAGCCGGGAGCUCCCGCUGUUCGCUGGAGAGCCGGGACCCGGCGGGCAAAACCAGGCUCUGAGUAAAUCGCAGGGACUUGCCGCCAGCUGGAGACCACCAUGACGGACUCCAAGUACUUCACCACCACGAAGAAAGGGGAGAUAUUUGAGCUGAAAGCCGAACUGAACAGCGACAAGAAGGAGAAGAAGAAGGAGGCCGUGAAGAAGGUCAUAGCGUCUAUGACCGUCGGGAAGGACGUCAGCGCUCUCUUCCCGGAUGUGGUGAACUGCAUGCAGACGGACAACCUGGAACUGAAGAAGCUGGUCUACCUCUACCUGAUGAACUACGCCAAGAGCCAGCCAGACAUGGCCAUCAUGGCAGUCAACACCUUUGUGAAGGACUGCGAGGACCCAAACCCGCUGAUCCGGGCUCUGGCCGUGCGCACCAUGGGCUGCAUCCGCGUGGACAAGAUCACGGAGUAUCUGUGCGAGCCGCUGCGCAAGUGCCUGAAGGAUGAGGACCCGUACGUGCGCAAGACGGCAGCCGUCUGCGUGGCAAAGCUCCACGACAUCAACGCCCAGCUGGUGGAGGACCAGGGCUUCCUGGACACCCUGAAGGACCUCAUCUCCGACUCCAACCCCAUGGUAGUGGCCAACGCAGUAGCGGCUCUCUCAGAAAUAGCAGAGUCUCACCCGAGCAGUAACCUCCUGGAUCUCAACCCCCAGUCCAUCAACAAGCUGCUCACGGCCCUGAACGAGUGCACAGAGUGGGGCCAGAUCUUCAUCCUGGACUGUCUGGCCAACUACAUGCCCAAGGAUGACCGGGAGGCCCAGAGCAUCUGCGAGCGGGUGACGCCUCGGCUGUCCCAUGCGAACUCUGCCGUGGUGCUCUCGGCCGUCAAGGUGCUGAUGAAGUUCAUGGAGAUGCUGUCCAAGGACCUGGAUUAUUACGGCACGCUGCUGAAGAAGCUGGCCCCGCCGCUGGUCACGCUGCUCUCCGCAGAGCCCGAGCUGCAGUAUGUGGCUCUGCGCAACAUCAACCUCAUCGUGCAGAAGAGGCCUGAGAUCCUGAAGCACGAGAUGAAGGUGUUCUUCGUCAAGUACAACGACCCCAUCUACGUCAAGCUGGAGAAGCUGGACAUCAUGAUCCGCCUGGCUUCCCAGGCCAACAUUGCUCAGGUGCUGGCUGAGCUGAAGGAGUACGCCACGGAGGUGGACGUGGACUUCGUGAGGAAGGCGGUUCGAGCCAUCGGCCGCUGCGCCAUCAAGGUGGAGCAAUCAGCUGAGCGCUGUGUCAGCACCCUGCUCGACCUCAUCCAGACCAAAGUCAACUAUGUGGUGCAGGAGGCCAUCGUUGUCAUCAAGGACAUCUUCCGCAAGUACCCCAACAAGUAUGAGAGCGUGAUUGCCACCCUCUGCGAGAACCUCGACUCCCUGGACGAGCCCGAGGCCCGUGCUGCCAUGAUCUGGAUCGUGGGCGAGUACGCUGAGCGGAUCGACAACGCUGAUGAGCUGCUGGAGAGCUUCCUGGAGGGCUUCCAUGACGAGAGCACCCAGGUGCAGCUGCAGCUGCUGACGGCCAUUGUGAAGCUGUUCCUGAAGAAGCCCACAGAGACGCAGGAGCUGGUGCAGCAGGUGCUGAGUUUGGCCACGCAGGAUUCCGACAACCCCGACCUGCGGGACCGCGGCUACAUCUACUGGCGCCUGCUCUCCACUGACCCCGUGGCUGCCAAGGAGGUGGUGCUGGCGGAGAAACCGCUCAUCUCUGAGGAGACGGAUCUGAUCGAGCCGACACUCCUGGACGAGCUGAUCUGCUACAUUGGGACGUUGGCCUCUGUCUAUCACAAACCUCCCAGCGCCUUCGUGGAGGGGAGCAGAGGGGUUGUGCACAAGAGUUUGCCCCCGCGAACGGGCUCGAGUGAGAGUGCCGAGAGCCCCGACACAGCCCCGUCGGGGGUGCAGGCAGCGGAGCAGCCGGCUGUCAUCCCCACCCAGGGUGACCUGCUGGGUGACCUGCUGAACCUGGACCUGGGCCCGCCGGUGAGCGGGCCGCCCAUGGCCACCUCUGCCGUGCAGAUGGGUGCUGUGGACCUCCUGGGAGGCGGCUUGGAUAGCCUGAUGGGGGACGAGUCGGAAGGGCUGCGAAGUGAUGUGGGAGGCAGCCCCGCUAUGGGUGGCGGUGGCAGCAGCUUCACGCCAGCGCCCAGCGCUGCGAUGCCCCCAAACCUGGGGGCACCCCUGGGCAGCGGCCUGGGAGACCUCUUCGACCUCACCGGUGGGGUGGGGACCCUGUCGGGAUCCUACGUGGCACCCAAAACGGUCUGGCUCCCUGCCAUGAAAGCCAAGGGGCUGGAGAUCUCUGGUACCUUCAGCCGGCAGGUGGGCUCCAUCGCCAUGGACCUGGUGCUCACCAACAAGGCUCUGCAGGUCAUGUCCGACUUCGCCAUCCAGUUUAACCGUAACAGCUUCGGCCUGGCCCCAGCAGCUCCUCUCCAGGUCCACGCGCCUCUCGCCCCCAACCAGUCUGUGGAGAUCUCCCUGCCGCUCAACACCGUCGGCUCCGUCAUGAAGAUGGACCCGCUGAACAACCUCCAGGUUGCAGUAAAAAACAACAUCGACGUCUUCUACUUCAGCACCCUGUACCCGCUGCACAUCCUCUUUGUGGAGGAAGGGAAGAUGGAGCGGCAGAUGUUCCUGGCCACUUGGAAGGACAUUCCUAAUGAGAACGAGGUGCAGUUCCAGAUCAAAGACUGUUCUCUCAGCGCAGAUGCUGUCAGCAACAAGCUCCAAGGCAGCAACAUCUUCACCAUCGCCAAGAGGAACGUGGAGGGUCAAGACAUGCUCUACCAGUCCCUGAAGCUCACCAAUGGCAUCUGGGUGCUGGCGGAGCUCCGGAUCCAGCCCAGCAAUCCCAGCUUCACGCCUUUUUCCUUUGGGCUGGGACGUGCCGUGUCGCCUUGACUCACCUCUCUCUGUAUCUCCAUACCUGCUGCCCUCCUGCCCUCGUUGCCUGCCCGCUCUUGCAGGAUUUGGAGUUGUCCCUGAAAUGCCGAGCGCCCGAGGUGUCCCAGUACGUGUACCAAGCCUACGAGACCAUCCUGAAGAACUGAGGUGCAGCCCAUCCUCCUCCUCCUCCUCCUCUCCCUUUCCUGCCCGAGGACGCGGGGCAGGACCCGUGUGCAUGUCUCCUCUCCAUCCUGCCGAGGAACCAGCCCUGGGGCCCCAAAAACGGAGCUGCUGCUCCCAUCUCCGGGGGGCUGGGGAGGGCAGGGGUGACCCCCAUCUCUGCAUCCCUGUGCAAAUCUGUGUGAGUGAUGCCGUGUCCUUCUUGCUGAUGUUGCCCCACCAAGAGCCCUGUUUCACUCUCUAGAUCCUGGUGACUGUUUUCGGACCGGGGGGGCCACUCUCCUCCUCCCCUUUGUGUCAAAAAUCCUCUUCCCCACUGGUGUCUGCCCAGGGUGGGGUCUGGGAAAGGGUUCAGCACUUCUUGGCCCUGGGAAGCCUGUUUGGUCCUGGGGCUGGGGCUUUGUCCUCCCCCCCCAGCAGUUCCUGCCUCUCCGUGGUGUUGUCCCCAAGUUCAGGAGAGCCCUGGGUGACCCCCCCAUCCCUCUGGGGAGGGUCUCCCCCCGUGGGAGCUGUUCCCAAAGGUCCCAGUAGGGCUUGAGGAUCUCAAAUUUGCGCCUGUACUUAGAAGUGCAGUAAAAAAAGGGCUUUUCCAGCCCCUGCAGUGGGGCCAGGAGGGCUCUGAGCAUCAACUCAUGCUGCCCUCACCCCUCCCCAGCCCUACGGCUCCCUCUGCUCCCCCCUGUCACCCAUGGGUGCCGGAGAGGACGUGCCACCUUCCCCUGUGGUGACACUGCUCCUGUCCACCCCCCAAAAUAAAGCCAUGGGUUACCCCUA